AUCCCCCCCCACCUUUGUUUUCCUUACCUUAAACAUUGAAACGCGGGCGUCGGGAGCAAACUCGGGCACGUAAACGGAGCGUUGUAAAAGAUUGUGUUCAAUGAAUAAUGAAACAUGUCCACAUGAUUGACUUGAUCAUUUUCCGGGGCUGAGGGGGGACGGGCGCCCAGCUCGCGCGCCUCGCUCGCCCACUCGGCAGAGCCCUGCGAACUGUUCCCAGCCCAGCCCGGGCAGGGCAGGCUCGGUUUUCAUCAGCCUCUUUUCAGAAUCGCCCCGUUCAUUGAUACUCAUCACCCAUCCCCAGUAGACAUCCCCAUCUCCGGCUCGGCCUCCCCCUAUCUGAGAUUGAGACCCCGUAUAUUUAGUUCCUGA
RNAcentral lists this long non-coding RNA (372 nucleotides) under Chinchilla lanigera (long-tailed chinchilla). RNAcentral's name for it is "lncRNA (ENSCLAG00000022737.1)". The record is from RNAcentral. Lineage: Eukaryota; Metazoa; Chordata; Mammalia; Rodentia; Chinchillidae.